Molecule: ribosomal RNA, 450 nt
Filed under: uncultured bacterium
Lineage: Bacteria
Description: bacterial SSU rRNA
Rfam family: Bacterial small subunit ribosomal RNA
Source: RNAcentral
ACGCUGGCGGCAUGCUUAACACAUGCAAGUUGAACGAAUAGUAGCAAUACUAUGAGUGGCAAACGGGUGAGUAAUACGUAGGAAUCUACCCUGUAGUAUGGGACAACAGUUGGAAACGGCUGCUAAUACCAUAUACGCUCUUUUAGAGGAAAGAUUUAUCGCUAUAGGAUGAGCCUGCGCUAAAUUAGGUUGUUGGUAGGGUAAUGGCCUACCAAGCCGAUGAUUUAUAGCUGGUCUGAGAGGACGAUCAGCCACACUGGAACUGAGACACGGUCCAGACUCCUACGGGAGGCAGCAGUGAGGAAUAUUGGACAAUGGGCGCAAGCCUGAUCCAGCAAUGUCGCGUGAAUGAUGAAGGCCUUAGGGUUGUAAAGUUCUUUCGGUAGGGAAGAAAAUGACGGUACCUACAGAAGAAGCUCCGGCUAACUCCGUGCCAGCAGCCGCGGUAAU